Molecule: non-coding RNA, 211 nt
Organism: Pelobates cultripes (western spadefoot toad)
Lineage: Eukaryota; Metazoa; Chordata; Amphibia; Anura; Pelobatidae
Source: the annotation of a GenBank genome assembly
AUUUUAUAUUUUCACAGGAAACCACAGCAUCAAGCCAUAGUUUGCAGAAUCACUACUGAACCUCAAAAGGUAAAAGCGUAUCUGGAAGAAGAAAUAAUUACUAAUUUUAUACAUCUAUGGACAUGGCCCAAAUAUUUGAAGGAAAUAUUUAAUUAAACAGAAUACAAUUUGGCAAGAUACAGACCCUGAUAUUUGUCCUGUCACAAAGAUG